This 253-nucleotide ribosomal RNA is filed under the name uncultured bacterium. Its description in RNAcentral is "partial 16S ribosomal RNA". It matches the Rfam family "Bacterial small subunit ribosomal RNA", at positions 524 to 776 of the family's 1533-position model. The record is from RNAcentral.
UACGAAGGGUGCAAGCGUUAUCCGGAUUCAUUGGGUUUAAAGGGUGCGUAGGCGGGGCGUUAAGUCAGUGGUGAAAUCUUGCAGCUCAACUGUAAACUUGCCAUUGAUACUGACGCUCUUGAGUGCGCUUGAAGUAGGCGGAAUGUGUCGUGUAGCGGUGAAAUGCUUAGAUAUGACACAGAACACCGAUUGCGAAGGCAGCUUACUAAGGCGAUACUGACGCUGAGGCACGAAAGCGUGGGGAUCAAACAGG